AUAUUUUGUAAAGCACUUUAAAACCUUUGAUAUGAGGGCUAAUGGAAAUAAAACGUGUAUUGUCACCUAUUCUUCCAGUUCCUCUCAAGUUGGCCGUUUUCCUUUCGCUUGGAUGUUAAGAAGCAAUAUUGUUUCGCUAUUGAAUGUUGAAGCUUAGUUUUAUUUCCUUCAACUUCUCUCCACUUCUAUUUCUUUGUGACCUCUUCUGGUUUCACUACCACAGAAUCAGAGAUUGCUGCCAAGGACCCAUCGAGAACUGAUUCAAGAUAAUACUUUCCUUGGACAGUUGUGAAGAUAGUUUUACUGAUCGCUCCAUGAGAAGGAGGAACUCUAGACAUCACGGGUCCUUCGUUUAUCCAGCCAGUUUUAAUAAAACAGAAAAGACGGAGUGCAAGGGGGCAACAUUUGAUCUUAUUCUCGCAGGCUCUGUGUAGGAAUUAGAAGAACUGGAGUAAUUCACUUGUUAGAUUUGUUACGUUACAUUGGGGUAACAUUUCCUUCCAGAAUUCUGGGAAAGGAGCAUUCCCCAGACACAGAAGAAAGGAUACACAGUGACUCCGCCUCCUCCACUCCCAGGUUCUUUUUUAUAAAAUAAAAUGAAGGAAUUUCAAAGAACACAUCUUAGAUUCAAACAGUUUUUCAGGCAUCUCAGAAACAUUUGAUCACAAAUGUCCG
Equus caballus (horse) is the source of this 675-nucleotide non-coding RNA. Lineage: Eukaryota; Metazoa; Chordata; Mammalia; Perissodactyla; Equidae. The record is from RefSeq and is a predicted model, not a curated record.